Coregonus clupeaformis (lake whitefish) is the source of this 300-nucleotide long non-coding RNA. RefSeq lists it as uncharacterized. The record is from RefSeq and is a predicted model, not a curated record. NCBI's taxonomy places the organism in Eukaryota, Metazoa, Chordata, Actinopteri, Salmoniformes, Salmonidae. The transcript has 3 exons.
UGUGCACAUCUGUGUGUGUGGGGAUGUGUGUGUGUGUUCUUACAUCAGUGUGUAUCUCCUCAGGUCCUGAGGAUUCAGGGAGAAGACUCUACAGGAUGGGUGCUGUGAGCUUUGGGAUGCUGUGUGUUCUACAAGUCACUCUCAACAUCUCCCUGAGACUAGUCUACCAGUUACAACAACCUGACUGAAGAGAGAGGCCAUCUUCAGGCAAAGCUUUUUGUGAUAGAGCAGUAUUGUCAAGAUGAAUGGAGAUACUUUGAUUCCAGUUUCUACUUCCUCUCCACUGAGAAGAAAACCUGG